This is a long non-coding RNA of Homo sapiens (human), 873 nucleotides long. Ensembl annotates it as MIR7-3 host gene. Its record names the gene MIR7-3HG. The record is from Ensembl. Lineage: Eukaryota; Metazoa; Chordata; Mammalia; Primates; Hominidae.
ACGGGACACCUGCAUCUGCCAACAAGACUGGAAGCAGAAAGGGACAGAGACGGCGAAGUUUGACGGUCUGGAAAGCAGAGACCAGCAGGGCUGACUGCUUGGGAGCACCAAAUAUCCGGACAGCGCCUCUCGGGAGGUCCGAGAAGAGAACCGCGAUCUGUUUCAGCACCGGGGCUCAGGACAGUUCCCAGCGGGCUCCGUUUCGUCUCCAGAACCCUGGACAGCUCCUCCAGCCUCCCAAAGUGCUAGGAUUACAGGCGUGAGUCACUGCGCCUGGCCCAAGUCCGGAAUUUUCAACAGGACAUGGGUGUUACUGUGCCCAUGUGACAUUUGGGGAACCCAAGGCCCUGAGAAAGGCAGAAAAAUAACCCACGCAGGGACUCUCAGCCCACAAGUGAAGCUAACCGGGAAUGGAAAACAGGGAGGCAGCACAGAGGCAGGAAACUCAGGUGUCAUAGCUUGGCUCAGCCUCAGGGCUUUUGCCUCUGCUGUUCCUGCAGCUUGGAAUGCACUCCCUCCACCUCCAACCAGAGCUCCCCACAACUGACCCUGCCUUCUUCUGCAAGCUCCAUUUCAUCAAGGGAAACGAUCCUUAUUGCCUCACCAUUUCCCACGUGAAGUCUGUAUUGACAUUCUCAUAGACCUGGGAUAUUGUGUCUGCAGCACAUAGUCCAAUUAUUUUCAUGUUAUCUACUGACAGGUCUAUUUGUCUCCCUGUUACACUGUGAGCUCCGUGAGGGCAGAAACAAUGUUAGUAUUUUCACUGCUGUGUCCCCAGCGCCUGGUCCGGGGCCCGGCACACAGCAGGCAUAUAAUAAGCAUGUGUUGAAUCAAUAAAGGCAUCAAAGAAUAAACCAAUACAUCAAUCAAUAA